CAGUGAUUGGUUCAAGUAGUGGACAUGUGACCCAACACAGGCCAAUCAGAGCCCUUCCAUGGUCUGAAGUGGAUAGGAAGGGGGUCCUCUUUCCUCUAAGGAUGGUAAGCUGAGAUGAUAGAAACUUAGAGUUUCCUGUGACCUUGUCCCACUGCCAUGUGACCCACUGUGCCAUGGAAAAGAAGUACCCAUUGGAGGGGAGAAUAUGAUCGACAGAGAAGCUGCAAUUAGAGAUGGAGAAAACGAGCCCUCAUCUCAUGCGUGGGCUGCUGAAACCAGUUCUAUACCUGUCAUUUCCAGAGAUGGGGUUUCAGCACAUUAGCCAGUAUCGUCUCGAUCUCUUCACCUCGUGAUCCGCCCGCCUCGGCCUCCCCAGCUGCUGGGAUUACAGGCGUGAGCCACUGCGUUUUGCCAGUUCUCUUCCUUUAUUAAAACUACAUCAGAUGGUCUCCAUCAAUGACACUCACCUGCUGGUGCCUCCUAUUGGCCAAAGCCAACAGGAAGUGGGCACUGAGCAGUGCAGAGGACAACAAAAGGAAUAAUCAACACAGGCCCUAAACUAAUCUUUACGAUGGCUUUCAAAGAAGUCCCAGAGAAAUUGUAUAUGCCUUUGGAAAUUGACGUAUGAGCACAAAUAUCACAGUCAUGGACCCAUUACAACAUCCUCACCAAUGUCACUAACCUACAGGAAAUUUUCCUUUAUAUUACAAAUGAGAGUAAACUGGAAAGCUAGGAACAGAAGUGGAGUUGGGGACCAGCCUGUUUCCUACUUUGUGAUAUGCUGUUUAUCCUGAGAAAUUGACAAACAUCCAACUUCAGCCUCAGAUUGAGAAACUUUUAGAGUGGCCAUUCCUCCUGAAUUUUCAACUCACAUCCACCUAAUUGCUGCUCAUCUUCCCAGGGUCUGUCCAGUCAGGAACAGUUUCAGAAUGUGGCUUUUUCAUCCAAGCUGCUUCCACAAUUCUAGGGCCCUUUUUCCUCUUCAGAAGAUUGACAACUGGACAUCUAUUGCCCAUUUGAAAAGAACCUACCUACAAUGGCCUUUGACCAAGCAGGCCUGCAUUCGGAACUAAAUAGUCAACGAAAGGGCACAUUUUCCAACCUCAGCCCAGCUAGCUAAGAGUUUCCCAUGAUACCUUGAAGAGCAUCACUUUGCCACAGCCUCUACCCUUCUCUGUAUCUAUGGGCUAGCCUGGGUUGAAACUACUAAAAUAAAAGACAAAGGAAUGCUUCCUCAUUAUUUCCA
Gorilla gorilla gorilla (western lowland gorilla) is the source of this 1246-nucleotide long non-coding RNA. RefSeq lists it as uncharacterized. The transcript is spliced from 4 exons. The record is from RefSeq and is a predicted model, not a curated record. Lineage: Eukaryota; Metazoa; Chordata; Mammalia; Primates; Hominidae.